GCUGGUAGCAUAGUGGUCAUAGCUAUUGCCUUUGGAUGCAAAAGGUUGCAGGUUUCAAUCCCUGCCAUAGUA
RNAcentral lists this transfer RNA (72 nucleotides) under Scleropages formosus (Asian bonytongue). RNAcentral describes it as "tRNA-Gln". The record is from RNAcentral. Lineage: Eukaryota; Metazoa; Chordata; Actinopteri; Osteoglossiformes; Osteoglossidae.